This 407-nucleotide ribosomal RNA is filed under the name uncultured bacterium. RNAcentral's name for it is "bacterial SSU rRNA". It matches the Rfam family "Bacterial small subunit ribosomal RNA", at positions 509 to 916 of the family's 1533-position model. The record is from RNAcentral.
CAGCAGCCGCGGUAAUACGGGGGUGGCAAGCGUUACUCGGAAUUAUUGGGUGUAAAGGGCAGGUAGGUGGCUUUGUAAGUGAGGGGUGAAAUCCUGCGGUUUAAUCGCAGAACAGCCUUUCAAACUGCAUAGCUUGAGAGUGACAGAGGAAGAUGGAAUUCCUGGUGUAAGGGUGAAAUCUGUAGAUAUCAGGAAGAACACCAACGGCGAAGGCAAUCUUCUGGGUCACUUCUGACACUGAGCUGCGAAAGCUAGGGUAGCAAACAGAAUUAGAUACUCUGGUAGUCCUAGCCGUAAACGAUGAAUACUAGGUGUUGGUCCUUUCGGGGAUCAGCGCCGAAGCUAACGCAUUAAGUAUUCCACCUGGGGACUACGGUCGCAAGGCUAAAACUCAAAGGAAUUGACGG